GAAACAGAAAAUUACAGUCCGUUGAUAUAUUUGUUAAAUUUUAUUCAAAAAAUAUUGCAAUAUAUCUUAAAGCAUGCCCUUUUUUGAAGAGCAACAUUACAGUCCGUUGAGAUAUUUGUGAAUAUUUGCAUAUUUUCUAAAUUUUCCAGAAAUAUUGCAAUAUUUCUUAAAUUUCAGUCCGUAUUUGUAUAUUGCAAUGCCAAUUCCAAAUCCAUUUCCAACUCCAUUUUCAUUUCCAUCUCCAUUCUUCUCAUUAAUCCGAUAAAUCCGAAAAAUUCAAAAUAUUAAAAGUAAUCUCGACAUGUAAAUUGCCGUGUGUGUGUGUGUGUCGUUGGUGUGUGCGUGUGUGUGUGUGUGUGGGUUGUGUGCUGGUGUGGGUGUUGGUUCCACAGUUUGUGGCGCCACUUCUUGUUGCAAUUCUUCUGCCCACUGAAGAUUUCCCUGAAGAAUUCGUGCUGCGAGGAAUCGUUAGUGAACGUGUUGAGGACUGCGAUCAAUCAAGUUUGCAUUUCCCGCGAGUAUGGCCGACUAUAUACAUACCCUGUAUAUAUAUAUAAAAACAUAGAUAAGAUGCGUGAGCGUCGUCUAUAUGUAUUGAAAAAAAAAACGCUUGUGUUGGAAAAACUUUGCUGAGCGGGACGAAAACAAAUGUGUGGCACUGUAAACCGAAAAAUGGAGGGAAAACUUUGGCAUUGUUUUGAUGCCACACACGAGAAGAAACGAGAAGAAGCGUCUACAUACUUUUAUCGUACGCGUGUGGCAACACAUCAAUGCGAGAGAGACAGACAGACCGAAGCAGAUAGAGAGAGCGUGUGUGCGCUUGCCUCUCUCGCUCUCUUUCGGCAUAUCGAAACAUAUCGUUGCGUCUCGCUCGGCAAGUGCUUUGCAAUGUGAGCGGCGAGACAAGGACGGCCAUACUCACAGCCCGAAAUGCAGCAGUAGAACAAACCAUUGCCAAUUAAAGCAGUGCAGCAAGCAGUGCACGAAUCAAAGCGCCAUAACAACACCAUUUUAAGUAUAACCGAAUAACUGACACGCUUUACAGUGUGUAUCAAAAGUAUUGGAUCGAGUUGAGGACUCGUCACACAUUCCUCGCUGUUACAGACUCGGAACUCACUGCACCAACCACCCACCCCCCAUCCACCGCCCACUCACCCCACCCCCCCGGCUCCGUAACAUGUCGGUGGUUACUGGCAUAAAUCCCGAGUACGACUCAAGUAAAAUUAGUAACUAUAUAUGAAAAUAUAUAUCCUUAUUGUGGGCCACAAAUGUCCGCUAACUGUUCAAAUUGACAAAUGUGAAAUACCUAUAAAAAAAAGCCAAAGUUUCAUCGUAAUUCACCCAUGAAUUCACUCAUGAAGUCGCACAUAAAUGAAAUACCUAAGAAAAAAAAAACAAAACAAAGUGUCAUCGUAAUUCACUCAUGAAGUCACCCAUGAAUUCACUCCUGAGUUCACCCAUGAAGUCACACAUGAAUAUUCACCCAUGAAUUCCCUCAUCCGCAUCCGCAUCCGCAUUUGGCAUCGUUCAAUCCAAAUACUUUUAGUAUAUUAACACUGUCCGUACAAAUUCCGUUUUAAAGAAUUCCUUCCAGGGAUUUUAUUUUUCAACUGAAAGUUUUCCCAGUUUUAUUUCAUUUUACUUUCGGCCGUGUCGCUGGUCGACUGUCAACUUUGUAGAACCUCGAAGAGCCAAAAAAAAACGAGAAGAAUCCAAGACUGAAACUGUAGAAAUCAGAAACUUAAGGAAAAGCAAAAUAUUGUCAAGAAAAGAAAAAAUCACUGAAAGAAAGAAAAUGUCAAAAUAAAAAAAAUCAAAAGGCUAAGCGAAGAAAUCACAUAAUUUAUAGAACAAAAUUUCUUAAAUAAGUUCGAAAUAAAAUUUGCCUAAAGAAAAAAACAGAAAACUAAACGAAAAUAUUACACACUUAAUACAAAAAAAAUUGCACUAAGAAAAAGAAAUCAGAUAGCUAAAAGAACACAAUAUUUGCUGUCUUGUCAAGAAUAUGAAACUUUAAAGAAAAAAAAUAUGAUACAAAAAAGAAACAAAACUCUAAAAAGAAAAAAAAUAGCUAAAGAAAUUAAAAGCUUAAAGUAAGAAAUAAACACUGCCUACAGUCUAAAAAUCAGAAAAAAAUAAGAAAAAAUGCCACAAUUUAAAACAAAAAACAAAAAGGAAAUAAAAAUAUCAUAGAAAAAAAUAAUUCAAAAACCUAAAUACAUAAAAAUUUGAGUGUCUGGACUAUAGAAAUCAGAAAUAUAAAGAAAGAAAAUGCCACUGCCCUGAAAUAUGUACAAACUAUAUAAGUUUUGAAAUCAAAUACCUAAAUAAAUGAAGAAAUGAUAUAGAAACAAAAAAAAAACAAAGGAAAAUGUCACACAGGAAUCGAAAACAGUAACAUAAAAGGAAGAAAAGUUCACAGGAAAAUAUAAAAAGCAAGCGUAUAACAAAUACUUUUUCAUGAAAAUAAAAAAAGAAUAAAAUAUAUAUAAUUUGGAGAACAGUACUACAAUAAAGAGCAUCGAAGGAAAGAAUAAAAUACUUAAAAAUCAAUGACAGGAAAAUAAUAAUCCCGAACCUAAAAAAAUAUGGCAAAGAAAAUAAAAAAAAUUCAAUAAGAAAAAAUUACAGAAGUUAUAAGAAGAGAAGAAAAUAGAAAACAACAAACUCAAACUUAUUGUGGUACUUGAGAGAGAGAGAUAGGGAGAGAGUGAGAGAGUUUAUCCCGCAGAAUAAAAAACAGUUUCCAUUUCCAUUCAAUCACAAAACACACAAAAAAUCUAUUUAUUGGACUCAAUUAUUGGCAUUAAAAAUGCAUUGCAUUUUUGUUCAAAACGCUUUGAAAUCGCUAACAAAUUGUGUGAUUUUUCCAAAAUUUUAUAUUUAUUUUAUUAUCAAACACGAUCUAACCACAAAUUGCUUUCAGUGUAGAGCUGAAAUCUGAAGUAAAAAUGUCUUUUAAAUUAGCUGCAAUGCGGUGAGUUUUCAACUUAAAUAUUGAAACGUUUCGUUGAUUGACACAGAGAAUUAUCAAGUCGUUUUUGGGAUAAACAAUAAAAUAUAAAUAAAUAAAUGGUUAACUGUUUUACGUGAUGUGUGCACUUGUUGCAAAAGAAAAGAAUACAAAAAAAAAAAAAUAUAUAUAUCAUGAAAAUGACAAGAAAUUGUUUUCGAAAACGUUUUUAAAAACGUUUCGUAAACGCUGUGCGAAUAUUUUUAAAUUAUGAGCAAAAAAAAAAAAAAGAAAUAAAAAGAAAAAAAAUAUGCAAACCUGUUGCUCGACAAACGUUUUUGCCGUGCAAUUGGUUUGCUCAAUGGCAAAAAAAAUACAAUGCUUAUGAUUAUAAAAAUGAGAAAUUAUAAUACAAAUAUUGCAUAAAUGUGCACAUCACGUGACAGUUGAAAAUCGCGGUGAAUUCAUCAAUGAAAACGGUUUCAAGAACGUCUGCAAUUCUCUGUGCGCUCAGCGAUUCGAUUUCUUAUAUAUAGAGUGUGUUUAAUGAGUUGUUAGCCAAGUUAUGUGCAAGUUUAUUAACCGAUUUCUAUGCUGGGUCUUCUUUCAGAUUCAAUUCAGUAAAAAAAAUGCCGAAACUUGGAAUCACUUGGAACCAAAGUUUUUAGUUUUUCGCAUUCCACUUUUUUGUUUGUCGCUCAAAAUAUGCAAAAGCAACGAUUUCAAAGCGAUUCCGAAUCUCCAAAUUGACUAACAAACUACAUACAUACAUAUUUAUGUGUCCGUUCAUUUUUGUUCUCCCCAUUUAAUCACAGUCAGCAUUUAAUUUUUCUACUGGGAAUAUAUAAAUUCUGCUUUUUUCCGUUGAAGUUUUCUCUUUCUCUCUGUGCCGCAAAAGUUGAGAAAAGCCAACAAAACUAAUUUAAAAAUCAUGCGCAAAAAAAUCACAUAUUGAAAAUUUUGAAGUAGUUAGAAGACUCUACGAAAAAACCUAUUUAAGUGAGAAUCGUUUAAGAUUUUACUCUCUUUUCAGUCAAGAAGCGUUUUGGAGAUUUCAGCAGCUGCUAAAUAAUUAUAUUUUCUUUUUACAGAUCAGUGGAGAACAUAUUUGAAAUGUUUAAAAUUAACACAUCCGUUUUGUUCCGUUCUGUUCAAAUUCCUGAACUUAUUUGUACUUAAAACAAAUUUCAAAAUUUAUUCAGUUGUACCCACUGCCACGCCUCCUCUCCUAACACAACAACGCCUCCCACACUCCGUCUUUUUUGGGUUCCAAAACUCACCAUAAAACUCUCAAAAA
Long non-coding RNA from Drosophila innubila, 4250 nucleotides. RefSeq lists it as uncharacterized. The transcript has 2 exons. The record is from RefSeq and is a predicted model, not a curated record. NCBI's taxonomy places the organism in Eukaryota, Metazoa, Arthropoda, Insecta, Diptera, Drosophilidae.